Molecule: transfer RNA, 77 nt
Filed under: Trichoderma harzianum
Lineage: Eukaryota; Fungi; Ascomycota; Sordariomycetes; Hypocreales; Hypocreaceae
Description: tRNA-Ser
Source: RNAcentral
AGGGGCUGGCAGGAUUCGAACCUACGACCUUUCUCUCUAGGUCACCUGUGUGCUUGACCACUGCACCACACAGCCCC